RNAcentral lists this ribosomal RNA (468 nucleotides) under uncultured bacterium. Its description in RNAcentral is "partial 16S ribosomal RNA". It matches the Rfam family "Bacterial small subunit ribosomal RNA", at positions 28 to 507 of the family's 1533-position model. The record is from RNAcentral.
GACGAACGCUAGCGGCGUGCUUAACACAUGCAAGUCGAACGGCAAGGCCCUGCUUUUGUGGUGUGCUCGAGUGGCGAACGGGUGAGUAACACUUGAGUAACCUGCCCUUGCCUUUUGGAUAACUUCAGCAAACUGGGGCUAAUACCGGAUAGGAGCUCCUGCUUCAUGCUGGGGGUUGGAAAGAUUGGGGGGUUGGGGAUGGACUCGGGGCUUGUCAGCUUGUAGGUGGUGUAGUGGCUUACCAAGGCUUUGACGUGCAGCCGCCCUGAGAGUGGGACGGGCACAAGGUGCACAGAGAUACGGCCCAGACUCCUGCGGGAUGCAGGAGUAUGGGAUAUUGCACGAUGCGCGGAAGCCGGAUGAAGCAAGACCGCGUGCUGGAUUGUGGCCUUCGGUUUGUAAGCCGCUUUGGCGUGUAUCGAAGCGUGAGUGAAGGUAAUGGGUAAAUAAGGACCGGCUAACUACGUG